GUGCACCUGCUUGGCCCGUUGCCCCCUUGUUUUUCUAACCUACAGAUAAGUUACGGGAGCUAUCGGUCCGGUAAUCAAUGCCAGGCCGCUUUGGGCGGAAGGCAAAAAUCACCGGUCGGGCACCCACCUGAGAGAGGUGGGUUGUAGAAAAACUGAGGUGACGGCCCGGUGGGUACAAU
RNAcentral lists this non-coding RNA (179 nucleotides) under Bacillota bacterium. RNAcentral describes it as "6S RNA". It matches the Rfam family "6S / SsrS RNA". From Rfam's summary of the family: E. coli 6S RNA was the first non coding RNA to be sequenced, but its function was unknown until recently. It consists of 184 nucleotides that fold into an extended hairpin structure with a large single-stranded internal bulge. Lineage: Bacteria; Bacillati; Bacillota. The record is from RNAcentral.